This 465-nucleotide ribosomal RNA is filed under the name uncultured bacterium. Its description in RNAcentral is "bacterial SSU rRNA". It matches the Rfam family "Bacterial small subunit ribosomal RNA", at positions 338 to 795 of the family's 1533-position model. The record is from RNAcentral.
CCUACGGGGGGCAGCAGUGGGGAAUAUUGCACAAUGGGCGCAAGCCUGGUGCAGCCAUGCCGCGUGUGUGAAGAAGGCCUUCGGGUUGUAAAGCACUUUCAGCGGGGAGGAAGGCGUUAAGGUUAAUAACCUUGGCGAUUGACGUUACCCGCAGAAGAAGCACCGGCUAACUCCGUGCCAGCAGCCGCGGUAAUACGGAGGGUGCAAGCGUUAAUCGGAAUUACUGGGCGUAAAGCGCACGCAGGCGGUCUGUCAAGUCGGAUGUGAAAUCCCCGGGCUCAACCUGGGAACUGCGUUCGAAACUGGCAGGCUAGAGUCUUGUAGAGGGGGGUAGAAUUCCAGGUGUAGCGGUGAAAUGCGUAGAGAUCUGGAGGAAUACCGGUGGCGAGGGCGGCCCCCUGGACAAAGACUGAGGCUCAGGUGCGAAAGCGUGGGGAGCAAACAGGAUUAGAUACCCGGGUAGUC